UUUUACGGAGAGUUUGAUCCUGGCUCAGGAUGAACGCUGGCGGCGUGCUUAACACAUGCAAGUCGAACGAUGAAGCCCAGCUUGCUGG
Molecule: ribosomal RNA, 88 nt
Filed under: Micrococcus luteus
Lineage: Bacteria; Bacillati; Actinomycetota; Actinomycetes; Micrococcales; Micrococcaceae
Description: partial 16S ribosomal RNA
Rfam family: Bacterial small subunit ribosomal RNA
Source: RNAcentral